Molecule: ribosomal RNA, 460 nt
Filed under: uncultured bacterium
Lineage: Bacteria
Description: partial 16S ribosomal RNA
Rfam family: Bacterial small subunit ribosomal RNA
Source: RNAcentral
CCUACGGGCUGCUGCAGUGAGGAAUAUUGGUCAAUGGCCGGAAGGCUGAACCAGCCAUGCCGCGUGAAGGUCAGUGCCCUAUGGGCGUUAAAGUUCUUUUGUUCGCGAGCAAUAAUGUUCAUGUGUGGCCCUACGUGAUUACCGUACGAUUCAGCAUCGGCUCACUCCGUUCCAGCAGCCGCGGGCACACGGGUGAUGCAAGCGUUAUCGGGAGUUGUUGGGUUUAAAGGGUGAGUAAGCUGGGAGGUAAGUCUGCGGGGAAAUGCCCCCGCUCUACGGGGUGAAGUGCCAUUCAUACUGCGGUGCGGGAUGGCGUAAGGGGGGGGAAGAAUGUGAGGUGUAGCGGUGAAAUGCAUAGAGAUCACACAGAACACCGAUUGCGAAGGCAGCUCACUGAGCAGGGACUGACGCUGGUGUACGAAAGCGUGGGUAUCAAACAGGAUUAGAUACCCUAGUAGUC